GCUCAAUGAAAAUUUAAUAGCCGCUUUUGUGCUAAGGUAGCAUAAUAAUUUGUCUUUUAAUUAAAGACUAGAACAAAAGGUUUAACAUCUCAAUUAAUGUUUUAUAAAAAACUUUUUAAAUUAUUUCAAUUGUAAAAAAACAAUUUUAAAAAAGAAAGACGAUAAGACCCUAUCGAACUUUACUUUAGUUUAAACUGGGGCAGUUAAUUAAUUAUUAUUUUAAUUUAAUUAAACAUAUAAUUUGACCUAAUACUAUUAAUAAAAUAAUCAAGUUACCGUAGGGAUAACAGCGUAAUAAAAUUUUUAAGACCUUAUUUAAAAUAAAGAUUGCGACCUCGAUGUUGAUUUAAUAACCUAAUUUACGCAGUAGUUAAUUAAGGAAGUCUGUUCGACUUUUAAAAAAUUACAUGAUUUGAGUUCAGACCGGUGUAAACCAGGUCGGUUUCUAUCUUCUAAAAAAAUUCUUCUAGUACGAAAGGACCUAAGAAAAUAAUAAUAUU
This 500-nucleotide ribosomal RNA is filed under the name Pardosa luctinosa. Its description in RNAcentral is "partial 16S ribosomal RNA". The stretch from base 153 to 454 matches the Rfam family "Bacterial large subunit ribosomal RNA", at positions 2074 to 2646 of the family's 2925-position model. Lineage: Eukaryota; Metazoa; Arthropoda; Arachnida; Araneae; Lycosidae. The record is from RNAcentral.